GGUCAAUCUUUCUUCAAAGUACAAAACGUGGAAAAUUAACAAGCUUAUGUUGGUAGGGAAGUUCUCCUGAUACUUUCAUGUUGUUGCAUCCCUUCAAAGUCUGUUCAAAGUAUCAAAGUAGAAAAUAUCUACCCAUGCAACUGCGCUUGCACGGGAAUCGAGCCCGUGAGCUCUGGCACACUAAGCGAGAAUCAUACCACUAGACC
Molecule: non-coding RNA, 206 nt
Organism: Paramuricea clavata
Lineage: Eukaryota; Metazoa; Cnidaria; Anthozoa; Malacalcyonacea; Plexauridae
Source: the annotation of a GenBank genome assembly